This 468-nucleotide ribosomal RNA is filed under the name uncultured bacterium. RNAcentral describes it as "partial 16S ribosomal RNA". It matches the Rfam family "Bacterial small subunit ribosomal RNA", at positions 28 to 507 of the family's 1533-position model. The record is from RNAcentral.
GACGAACGCUGGCGGCGUGCUUAACACAUGCAAGUCGAACGGAAAGGCCCUGCUUUUGUGGGGUGCUCGAGUGGCGAACGGGUGAGUAACACGUGAGUAACCUGCCCUUGACUUUGGGAUAACUUCAGGAAACUGGGGCUAAUACCGGAUAGGAGCUCCUGCUGCAGGGUGGGGGUUGGAAAGUUUCGGCGGUUGGGGAUGGACUCGCGGCUUAUCAGCUUGUUGGUGGGGUAGUGGCUUACCAAGGCUUUGACGGGUAGCCGGCCUGAGAGGGUGACCGGCCACAUUGGGCCUGAGAUACGGCCCAGACUCCUACGGGAGGCAGCAGUGGGGAAUAUUGCACAAUGGGCGGAGGCCUGAUGCAGCAACGCCGCGUGCGGGAUGACGGCCUUCGGGUUGUAAUCCGCUUUCGCCUGUGACGAAGCGUGAGUGACGGUAAUGGGUAAAGAAGCACCGGCUAACUACGUG